UUUUUUUUUUUUUUCAAAAAAGAAGUUAUUAGAUUCCGCAAUUAGAAGACGCUAAAGAGUGAAAGAAGGAUAGGACGUAAAUGACGCAAGCAGAUAUGGCUUUUAUUUUCUCGGUUUGGCUCAAAACGAGAUAGGGGAAGAAAGAAAUUGAUGAUAGGGGAAGAUUUGCUUCCAUUUUUGUUUUUGAACUAUCAAUAGCUGCGGUUUCUUCAAGUGUUUGGGUUGCUCAAAGACCACCGGAAUAUCCAUUUGUUGAGUUUGAUGAUCACAAGGAUCCUCUCAAUGCAAUUCAUACAUUGGAUGGAUCAAUUGUUUUCUUAUUUUGAUACAAAUACUUGAGCACUCAAGGAGAAUCUGAAAGUUAAACUCUUUCAGUUUUCCCAUGUCCCGAAAAUAUCAUCACUCCCGAUGAUGUACGCAACAUGUGGCACAUUGCUUUUAGUACAUUAGCUCUCCUUUGAUUUGAAGAAAGUGUUCUUGGAGCAGCCCAAAAUUUUCCUUUGGACCAAGUUGAAGGCUACCUAGAAUUGUCUGCCUAAACAAAGAUAUAUUUUUCGCCUGCUGAUGCUAUAUGUGGAAUGCAGAAUUUCUAUAUUAAAGUUGAUGAUGUCUUCCAUGUAAAUAUAAAUGAGUUAUUCUUUUUUCCUUUACUAUGAAUACUCCAUAAAUAACUGAGUUAUUUAAAUUAGUAUCUUUUUUAUUUGAGAAUUACAACUCAAUAUGAUAUUUAAAAUCAUUAAUUCAAGCCCUCACCAAAUUUGUCAUGUUCAGCAUUUGAGGGUUGUUCGUGCAUUACUGGUAUCAAAACACAACAAUUUUAUAAAUUCUACAUGCUCAAUUAGCUA
Quercus robur (English oak) is the source of this 845-nucleotide long non-coding RNA. RefSeq lists it as uncharacterized. NCBI's taxonomy places the organism in Eukaryota, Viridiplantae, Streptophyta, Magnoliopsida, Fagales, Fagaceae. The record is from RefSeq and is a predicted model, not a curated record. The transcript is spliced from 7 exons.